RNAcentral lists this ribosomal RNA (440 nucleotides) under uncultured bacterium. Its description in RNAcentral is "bacterial SSU rRNA". It matches the Rfam family "Bacterial small subunit ribosomal RNA", at positions 958 to 1398 of the family's 1533-position model. The record is from RNAcentral.
AACGCGAAGAACCUUACCCAGUCUUGACAUGCAGUGGAAUGUACCAGAGAUGGUACAGCCCUUCGGGGCUACUGCACAGGUGCUGCAUGGCUGUCGUCAGCUCGUGCCGUGAGGUGUUUGGUUAAGUCCAGCAACGAGCGCAACCCUUAUCAUUAGUUGCCAACACGUAAAGGUGGGAACUCUAAUGAGACUGCCUGGGUUAACCAGGAGGAAGGUGAGGAUGACGUCAAGUCCGCAUGGCCCUUAUGACUGGGGCUACACACGUGCUACAAUGGUCGGUACAGAAGGCAGCGAAACCGCGAGGUGAAGCAAAUCCCCAAAGCCGGCCUCAGUUCAGAUUGUAGUCUGCAACUCGACUACAUGAAGUUGGAAUUGCUAGUAAUGGCGUAUCAGCAACAGCGCCGUGAAUACGUUCCCGGGCCUUGUACACACCGAGUAUA